Molecule: ribosomal RNA, 1234 nt
Filed under: metagenome
Description: bacterial LSU rRNA
Rfam family: Bacterial large subunit ribosomal RNA
Source: RNAcentral
UGAAUACGAGAUGCUACGGCGUCGAAGCAGUCUAUGUCAUACUUCCAAGAAAAGCUUGCACUGUCAUAAACAAAUAAUGCCUGUACCAUAACCGACACAGGUGGGUAGGUAGAGUAUACUAAGGGGCGCGAGAUAACUCUCUCUAAGGAACUCGGCAAAAUGACUCCGUAACUUCGGGAGAUGGAGUGCCUUAUUUAUAAGGUUGCAAUAACAAGAUCCAAGCAACUGUUUACCAAAAACACAGGUCUCCGCUAAGUCGUAAGACGAUGUAUGGGGGCCGACGCCUGCCCAGUGCCAGAAGGUUAAAGAAGUUGGGUAGCAUCCGCGAAGCUGAUAACUGAAGCCCUGGUGAACGGCGGCCGUAACGAUAACGGUCCUAAGGUAGCGAAAUUCCUUGUCGGGUAAGUUCCGACCCGCACGAAAGGCGUAAUGAUUUGGAUACUGUCUCGGAGAGGGGCUCGGUGAAAUAGACUUGUCUGUGAAGAUGCGGACUACCUGCACCAGGACGGAAAGACCCUAUGAAGCUUUACUGUAACCUGAAAUUGAAAUUGGACUUUACUUGCGCAGUAUAGGUGGGAGGCGUUGAGAAUAUUCUUGCGGGAUUAUUGGAGCCAUCAGUGAGAUACCACUCUUGUAAUGUUAGAUUUCUAACUUUGUAUCAUUAUCUGGUCAAAGAACAGUUUCAGGCGGGCAGUUUGACUGGGGCGGUCGCCUCCUAAACGGUAACGGAGGCGCACAAAGGUUUCCUCUGAACGGGUAGAAAUCGUAUCUAGAGUGUAAAGGCAUAAGGAAGCUUGACUGUGAGACCUACAAGUCGAGCAGGGACGAAAGUCGGUCUUAGUGAUCUGACGGUGCUGAGUGGAAAGGCCGUCACUCAACGGAUAAAAGUUACUCUAGGAUAACAGGCUGAUCUCCCCCAAGAGUUCACAUCGACGGGGAGGUUUGGCACCUCGAUGUCGGCUCAUCGCAUCCUGGGGCGGUAGUACGUCCCAAGGGUUGGGCUGUUCGCCCAUGAAAGCGGUACGCGAGCUGGGUUCAGAACGUCGUGAGACAGUUCGGUCCAUAUCCGGUGUAGGCGUUAGAAUAUUGAGAGGAGCCUUCUUUAGUACGAGAGGACCGAGAAGGACAUACCUCUGGUGUACCAGUUAUCGUGCCAACGGUAAACGCUGGGUAGCUAUGUGUGGAGUGGAUAACCGCUGAAAGCAUCUAAGUGGGAAGCCCACCUCAAGAUGAG